RNAcentral lists this ribosomal RNA (253 nucleotides) under uncultured bacterium. RNAcentral's name for it is "partial 16S ribosomal RNA". It matches the Rfam family "Bacterial small subunit ribosomal RNA", at positions 524 to 776 of the family's 1533-position model. The record is from RNAcentral.
UACGGAGGUGGCAAGCGUUGCUCGGAAUCACUGGGCGUAAAGGGCGCGUAGGCGGGGAGGUAAGUCGGGUGUGAAAUCCCUCGGCCCAACCGAGGAACUGCGCCCGAGACUGCUUCUCUUGAGUCCCGGAGAGGAAGAUGGAAUUCCCGGUGGAGCGGUGAAAUGCGUAGAUAUCGGGAGGAACGCCGGUGGCGAAAGCGACUGUCUGGGGUGCCUGUGACGCUGAGGCGCGAAAGCCAGGGGAUCAAACGGG